RNAcentral lists this ribosomal RNA (2380 nucleotides) under Candidatus Williamhamiltonella defendens. RNAcentral describes it as "bacterial LSU rRNA". The stretch from base 1 to 1540 matches the Rfam family "Bacterial small subunit ribosomal RNA". Lineage: Bacteria; Pseudomonadati; Pseudomonadota; Gammaproteobacteria; Enterobacterales; Enterobacteriaceae. The record is from RNAcentral.
AGUUUGAUCAUGGCUCAGAUUGAACGCUGGUGGCAGGCCUAACACAUGCAAGUCGAGCGGCAUCGAGUGAGCGCAGUUUACUGAGUUCAUGUCGGCGAGCGGCGGACGGGUGAGUAAAGUCUGGGAAUCUGGCCGAAGGAGGGGGAUAACUGCUGGAAACGGCAGCUAAUACCGCAUGAAGUCGCGAGACCAAAGUGGGGGACCUUCGGGCCUCACGCCUUCGGAUGAGCCCAGAUGAGAUUAGCUGGUAGGUAAGGUAAAGGCUUACCUAGGCGACGAUCUCUAGCGGGUCUGAGAGGAUAGCCCGCCACACUGGAACUGAGACACGGUCCAGACUCCUACGGGAGGCAGCAGUGGGGAAUAUUGCACAAUGGGCGAAAGCCUGAUGCAGCCAUGCCACGUGUGUGAAGAAGGCCUUCGGGUUGUAAAGCACUUUCAGCGAGGAGGAAGCGAUAAAUGCGAAUACCAUUUAUUUUUGACGUUACUCGCAGAAGAAGCACCGGCUAACUCCGUGCCAGCAGCCGCGGUAAUACGGAGGGUGCGAGCGUUAAUCGGAAUAACUGGGCGUAAAGGGCAUGUAGGCGGUGAGUUAAGUCAGAUGUGAAAUCCCCGAGCUCAACUUGGGAAUGGCAUUUGAAACUGGGUCGCUAGAGUUUUCUAGAGGGGGGUAGAAUUCCAGGUGUAGCGGUGAAAUGCGUAGAUAUCUGGAGGAAUACCGGUGGCGAAGGCGGCCCCCUGGAGAAAGACUGACGCUGAGGUGCGAAAGCGUGGGGAGCAAACAGGAUUAGAUACCCUGGUAGUCCACGCUGUAAACGAUGUCGAUUUGGAGGUUGCGGUCUCGAACUGUGGCGUCCGGAGCUAACGCGUUAAAUCGACCGCCUGGGGAGUACGGCCGCAAGGUUAAAACUCAAAUGAAUUGACGGGGGCCCGCACAAGCGGUGGAGCAUGUGGUUUAAUUCGAUGCAACGCGAAGAACCUUACCUACUCUUGACAUCCACGGAAUUGUGCAGAGAUGCGCAAGUGCCUUCGGGAACCGUGAGACAGGUGCUGCAUGGCUGUCGUCAGCUCGUGUUGUGAAAUGUUGGGUUAAGUCCCGCAACGAGCGCAACCCUUGUCCUUUGUUGCCAGCGCGUAGAGGCGGGAACUCAAAGGAGACUGCCGGUGAUAAACCGGAGGAAGGUGGGGACGACGUCAAGUCAUCAUGGCCCUUACGAGUAGGGCUACACACGUGCUACAAUGGCGUAUACAAAGGGAUGCGAACCUGCGAGGGAAAGCGGAACUCAGAAAGUACGUCGUAGUCCGGAUUGGAGUCUGCAACUCGACUCCAUGAAGUCGGAAUCGCUAGUAAUCGUAGAUCAGAAUGCUACGGUGAAUACGUUCCCGGGCCUUGUACACACCGCCCGUCACACCAUGGGAGUGGGUUGCAAAAGAAGUAGGUAGCUUAACCGCAAGGAGGGCGCCUACCACUUUGUGAUUCAUGACUGGGGUGAAGUCGUAACAAGGUAACCGUAGGGGAACCUGCGGUUGGAUCACCUCCUUAACUAUAAACUCUCACUAUCAGUGUCCACUCACAUUAUCUGAUAAAUCAUGAAAAAAGACGACAUUUCGUUUUUGUAUCUUACAUUGGGUCUGUAGCUCAGCUGGUUAGAGCGCACCCCUGAUAAGGGCGAGGUCGGUGGUUCAAGUCCACUCAGACCCACCAACUUACCUUAAAUUUUUGAUGGUAUGUUGCAACUUAAGAUAAUUUUUUUAUUGUACGGGGCUAUAGCUCAGCUGGUAGAGCGCCUGCCUUGCACGCAGGAGGUCAGCGGUUCGAUCCCGCUUAGCUCCACCAAGUUAAAUCAUUUUCAAGAAAUUGCUCUUUAAAAAUAAGGGAUAAGCAAGAGAUUGUAAGUCAGAAACAAUUUCGGGUUGUAAGGUUAAGUAAUGAAGCGUACAGGGAGGAUGCCUAGGCAGUCAGAGGCGAAGAAGGGCGUGUUAAUCUGCGAAAAGCGACGGUAAGCUGAUAAAAAGCGUGUUAGCCGUCGAUACCCGAAUGGGGCAACCCAGUGCAGAAUAUGCACUAUCGUAAUAUGAAUAAAUAGUAUUGCGAGGCAAACCAGGGGAAUUGAAACAUCUCAGUACCCUGAGGAAAAGAAAUCAACCGAGAUUCCCUAAGUAGCGGCGAGCGAAAGGGGAGGAGCCCGGAGUCACCAUCUUUGCGCAAUUAGGGGAAUCGUUUGGGAAGACGAGCCAUAGAGGGUGAUGGCCCCGUACCUGAAAAUUGCAGCAGAGUGAGCUCGAAGAGUAGGACGGGACACGUGAUAUCCUGUUUGAAGAUGGGGGGACCAUCCUCCAAGGCUAAAUACUCCUGACUGACCGAUAGUGAACCAGUACCGUG